This 406-nucleotide ribosomal RNA is filed under the name uncultured bacterium. RNAcentral's name for it is "bacterial SSU rRNA". It matches the Rfam family "Bacterial small subunit ribosomal RNA", at positions 355 to 773 of the family's 1533-position model. The record is from RNAcentral.
UUGGGAAUAUUGCACAAUGGGCGGAAGCCUGAUGCAGCGACGCCGCGUGAGGGAUGACGGCCUUCGGGUUGUAAACCUCUUUCAGCAGGGACGCAGCGCAAGUGACGGUACCUGCAGAAGAAGCGCCGGCCAACUACGUGCCAGCAGCCGCGGUAAGACGUAGGGCGCGAGCGUUGUCCGGAGUUAUUGGGCGUAAAGAGCUCGUAGGCGGCUUGUUGCGUCGACCGUGAAAACCCGGGGCUCAACUUCGGGCUUGCGGUCGAUACGGGCGGGCUAGAGUUCGGUAGGGGAGACUGGAAUUCCUGGUGUAGCGGUGAAAUGCGCAGAUAUCAGGAGGAACACCGGUGGCGAAGGCGGGUCUCUGGGCCGAUACUGACGCUGAGGAGCGAAAGCGUGGGGAGCGAAC